Molecule: ribosomal RNA, 161 nt
Filed under: Corethron hystrix
Lineage: Eukaryota; Bacillariophyta; Corethrophyceae; Corethrales; Corethraceae
Description: partial Bacterial large subunit ribosomal RNA
Rfam family: Bacterial large subunit ribosomal RNA
Source: RNAcentral
UGGGGGGUGAGAGUCCCGUAGGUGAAAUUGUGACAUGCAUGGAAGGAAUCCUGAGUACGGCGGGACACGUGGAAUCCCGUCGGAAUCAACGAGGACCAUCUCGUAAGGCUAAAUACUACCUAGUGACCGAUACUGAAUCAGUACCGUGAGGGAAAGGUGAA